CCUCAGCCAACCCCACAGGGAGCUUGGGUGAUAAAAAGGCCCAUAAAGGUGUCCCUCAUUAGGUCAAAAUGUUGGGCCUUUAUACUGUCACCUCAAUCAGUUGUUGUGUAUGGACUGCCCCAGGGAGCGUCUGAUCCUGGGCGAGGCUACUCUCUGCAGCUGAGGCGAACCCUAAGGAGGCUGACAGUUGAACGUUGUCUGCCAACUGCCCUUGCAGUGGCAGAGCAACGAUCUUCCUACUUUAAGAGAGAUCUGAGGGGCCCAUCACUGAGGCCACCAUGUAUCAAAUCCUACCUAACAACAGGCAUGAUUGCUGGAGUUCCAGCAUCCACUUGUGAUCAUAUGGCAACCAUGAGGAGUGAAGCCAGUGCUAAGGAUGAUGGAGCAGAAGAAGAAAAGGAGCUAGGCCCCUGGCAACAAGAGAGUGUCCUGAUCUUAGUGCCCACUAAGAGGCCAAAGAACUUGCUUCCUCUCUCUUGCUGCUGUGUGAGGAUACAGGAAGGAGGUGAUCAUCUGCAAGUCAGGAAGGGAGCCCUCAACAAGAACUAAAUCUGCUGGUACUUUGAUCUUGGACUUCCCAGUCUCCAGAACUGCGAGAAAUAAAUGUCUGUUGUUUAAGCCACCCUUUCUAUGGUAUUUUUUUAAUAGUAGCUAAGCUGAUUAAGACAGUAGUCUUUGGCACUCUGGAAACAUUUUCCUGUUUCUGCCAUUUGUAGAUCUAAUAACCCUAUCAAAAUGUGCAACCUAAGAUUUCUUCACAGGGCACUUCUCACUCAUUUAAAUUUCAGGAAAUGUCCUCUCCAUGGCUACCUUGUCUGUUUGUAGUAUCUCAUUGAAUCCAUGCUACUGUUGAUAUAAGACACACCAUUAUUUUGUAUGCUAUGA
RNAcentral lists this long non-coding RNA (885 nucleotides) under Papio anubis (olive baboon). RNAcentral describes it as "lncRNA (ENSPANG00000041034.1)". The record is from RNAcentral. Lineage: Eukaryota; Metazoa; Chordata; Mammalia; Primates; Cercopithecidae.